UCAUUAGUUUUUUAAUUGAAAGCUUGUAUGAAUGGUUUGAUGAGAAAAUAACUGUCUCAAUUUUAAUAUUUUAGAAUUUUAUUUUUAAGUAAAAAAGCUUAAAUUUAUUUAAAAGACGAGAAGACCCUAUAGAGUUUGAUUUAAAAUGAUUUUAUAAAUUUUAGAAUUAAUUUUUUUUAAUUUUAUUUUAAAUUUGGUUGGGGUGACUAAAAAAUUAAUUAAACUUUUUUUUUAUUUUUACAUUAAUUUAUGAAUUUUUGAUCCAUUUAAAUGAUUAAAAGAUUAAAUUACCUUAGGGAUAACAGCGUAAUUUUUUUUGAGAGUUCUUAUUGAAAGAAGAGAUUGCGACCUCGAUGUUGGAUUAAAAUAAAUUUUUGGUGUAGAAGCUAGAA
RNAcentral lists this ribosomal RNA (392 nucleotides) under Epilachna paramagna. Its description in RNAcentral is "partial 16S ribosomal RNA". Lineage: Eukaryota; Metazoa; Arthropoda; Insecta; Coleoptera; Coccinellidae. The record is from RNAcentral.